GGGGGCGAACUGGUUUCGACGGAGGUAAUGAGACACAGGUUGCACGUCGAGGUCCCACCCACCUCGCUAAACAGGUGGAAACAAUUUAACUGCAGAACCUCUAGCAGUCGCGGCCUAAGAGAAAGGCACGCCGUUCCCGGGAUCCCCUCCCGCAGGGUUUCGGGAGCGUCAAACGGGCGGGAUAGCGAGCCGGUCCGGCUUCGAGGCCGGGGAGCGAACCACCAUCGGGGCUGGCCUCGCGGCGCUUUUCCUCUUCGAGCGCCGGGGGGCGAGAACAAGGAAGAGGAUAAGCGUGUAGAGACCUGAUGUGGAAUGCUUUCGGACGCGGGUUCGAUUCCCGCCGCCUCCACCA
Molecule: transfer-messenger RNA, 352 nt
Filed under: Candidatus Aminicenantota bacterium
Lineage: Bacteria; Candidatus Aminicenantota
Also listed under: 1 other name
Rfam family: transfer-messenger RNA
About the family: Bacterial tmRNA, also known as 10Sa RNA or SsrA, is named for its dual tRNA and mRNA-like properties. Its role is to liberate the mRNA from a stalled ribosome. To accomplish this part of the tmRNA is used as a reading frame that ends in a translation stop signal.
Source: RNAcentral